GUAUUUCAUGGCCUUGAACACAUUAAAUUUUAUUUCUUGAUCUUGGACUCUCAUAGUAAGUUCUCCUUUUUGCACGUCUAUGAGUGUCCUUCCCGUGGCCAAGAAAGGUCUCCCUAGGAUAAUCGAGAUGUUCUUAUCCUCAUCAAAAUCCAGAAUGAUAAAGUCCGCAGGGAAUAUAAACUUAUCCACCUUAACCAGAAUGUCCUCUACAAUGCCUCUCGG
This 222-nucleotide long non-coding RNA is filed under the name Panax ginseng (ginseng). Its description in RNAcentral is "long non-coding RNA (PGIN_LNC008882)". The record is from RNAcentral. Lineage: Eukaryota; Viridiplantae; Streptophyta; Magnoliopsida; Apiales; Araliaceae.